RNAcentral lists this ribosomal RNA (2970 nucleotides) under Kalinella pachyderma. RNAcentral's name for it is "large subunit ribosomal RNA". It matches the Rfam family "Bacterial large subunit ribosomal RNA". Lineage: Eukaryota; Viridiplantae; Chlorophyta; Trebouxiophyceae; Watanabeales; Watanabeaceae. The record is from RNAcentral.
UCAAAUGAUUAUAGGAUUACGGCGAAUACCUAGGCAUUCAGAGACGAUGAAGGGCGUGGCAACCAACGAAAUACUUCGAGGAGCUGGAAACAAGCAAUGAAUCGGAGAUUCCCUAAUAGGGCAACCUCAAGAACUACUUAUUGAAUUCAUAAAUAAGAAAGAGAAAACCUGGUGAAUUGAAACAUCUUAGUAGCCAGAGGAAAAGAAAGCAAAAGCGAUUCCCGUAGUAGCGGCGAGCGAAAUGGGAACAGCCUAAACCGUCUGAUAUUUUCAUUCGGGGUCGUGGGAGGAUAAAAAUAGCGUUAUUUGAGUAGACGAAGCAGCUGAUUCCUGCACCAUAGACGGUUAUAGUCCGGUAGUUUAAACUUAAAUAAGCGCUUAGCACUUUUUAAAGUGGCAUAUGUUAUCUUAUCCCGAGUAGCAUGGGGCACGUGAAAUCCCGUGUGAAUUUACGAGGACCACCUCGUCAGGCUAAAUACUCGUGAAUGACCGAUAGCGAAACAGUACCGCGAGGGAAAGGUGAAAAAGAACCCCUUAAGGGGAGUGAAAAAGCAUAUGAAACCGUAAUCUAACAAGCAGUGGGAGAACUUUUAGUUUGACCGCGUGCCUGUCGAAGAAUGAGCCGGCGACUUAUAGAGGGUGGCGCGGUUAAGGGAGUCAAAAUUUCCGAAGCCAAAGCGAAAGCAAGUUUGAAAUAGAGCGAUUCUGUCACCCUUUAUGGACCCGAACCCGGGUGAUCUAACCCUGACCAGGAUGAAGCUUGGGUGAAACCAAGUGAAGGUCCGAACUCAUCGAUCUUGAAAAAUCGUGGGAUGAGUUGGGGUUAGUUGGUUAAAUGCUAAUCGAACUCGGAGCUAGCUGGUUCUCCCCGAAAUGUGUUGAGGCGCAGCGAUGAACGAAAAACAAGUACGGCUUAGGGGUAAAGCACUGUUUCGGUGCGGGCUGCGAAAGCGGUACCAAAUCGUGGCAAACUCUGAAUACUAAGUUUGUAUACCGCUCAUCAGUGAGAAUGUGGGGGAUAAGCUCCAUAUUCAAGAGGGAAACAGCCCAGAUCACCAGCUAAGGCCCCAAAAUGACAGCUAAGUGGCAAAGGAGGUGAAAGUGCAGAAACAACCAGGAGGUUCGCUUAGAAGCAGCUAUCCUUUAAAGAGUGCGUAAUAGCUCACUGGUUAAGCGCUCUUGCGCCGAAAAUGUAUGGGACUAAGUUGUCUGCCGAAGCUGUGGGAUAGUACUUUAAAGAGUACAUAUCGGUAGGGGAGCGUUCCGUGGUAGGUUGAAGUAUAUUUGUAAAAAUGUAUGGACGAAACGGAAGCGAGAAUGUCGGCUUGAGUAACGAAAACAUUGGUGAGAAUCCAAUGCCCCGAAAACCUAAGGGUUCCUUCACUAGGUUCGUCCAUGGAGGGUUAGUCAGCGCCUUAGGCAAGGCCGAAAGGCGUAGUCGAUGGGAAACAGGUCAACAUUCCUGUACUAAUUGUUGUUUUGAACCGAGGGACGAAGAAGGCCGCCAUACACUAAAGAUGGAUUUUGUGAGAAACGUUCGAGGUGAUGAGAUCGAGAAUAAAAACUCGAUAUAGAGCUAAGACGUCUUAUGUCUUUAUCCUUUGUCAGUGCUCCGGUAGUGGCAAACUAAAGAUUAUGUAACGUGUCAUACUUCCAAGAAAAGCUUGAACUUUUUAUAACAACAAAUUAGCUGUACCCGAAUCCGACACAGGUAGGUUGGUAGAGUAUACCUAGGGGCGCGAAAUAACUCUCUUUAAGGAACUCGGCAAAAUAGCCCCGUAACUUCGGAAGAAGGGGUACCCCUGCGAGGGGGUCGCAGUGACCAAAUCCAAGCGACUGUUUACCAAAAACACAGGUCUCCGCUAAGUCGUAAGACAAUGUAUGGGGGCUGACGCCUGCCCGGUGCUGGUAGGUGAAGCGAGUUGGUUAUCCGCAUUAGCGGAGAAGCUGGCGACCGAAGCCCCAGUGAACGGCGGCCCUAACUAUGAGGGUCCUAAGGUAGCGAAAUUCUUUUUCGGGUAAGUUCCGAACCGCAUGAAUGGCGUAACGACUUGGGUACUGUCUCAAAGAGAGAUUCGGUGAAAUAGAUAUGUCCGUGAAGAGGCGGACUACUUACAUUUGGACAGAAAGACCCUAUGAAGCUUUACUGUAGGUUGACAUUGGAUUUGGGCUUUUCUUGCGCAGUCUAGGUGGGAGGCUAAGAUGCCUUGGUUGCGGCCAAGGUGGAGCCGUCAUUGAGAGACCACUCUGGAAGAGCUAAAAUUCUAAUUGUGUUCCUUGAAUCAGGACACUUGACAGUGUCAGUCGGUCAGUUUUUCUGGGGCGGAAGCCUCCUAAAAGGUAACGGAGGCUCGCAAAGGUUCCCUCAAGCUGGACGGAAAUCAGCUGUAGAGUGUAAAGGCAUAAGGGAGCUUGACUGUAAGACCUAUACGUCGAACAGGGGCGAUAAGCCGGCCUUAGUGAUCCGACGGUGCCGUGUGGAAGGGCCGUCGCUCAAAAGAUAAAAGUUACUCUAGGGAUAACAGGCUAAUGACUCCCAAGAGAUCAUAUCGACGGAGUCGUUUGGCACCUCGAUGUCGGCUUGUCACAUCCCAAGGCGGAAGUACGUCUUAAAGGUUGGGCUGUUCGCCCAUUAAAGUGGUACGUGAGCUGGGUUCAGAACGUAGUCACACUGUUUGGUCCAUAUCCGAUGUAAGCGUUAGAGCGUUGAGAGAAUCCUCACUUAGUACGAGAGGACCGGCGAGGAGGCACCUCCGGUGUACCAGUUGUCCCGCCAGGGGCAGACGCUGGGUAGCUGCGUGCCGAGUGGAUAACCGCUGAAAGCAUCUAAGUGGGAAGCCCAUCUCAAGAUGAACGCUCUCCCGUCAUUUUGACGAGUAGGCCACAGCAAGACUAGCUGUUUGAUAGGUGGCAGGUGUAAGGUCGGCAACGUCCGUAGCUGAGCUAUACUAAUAGGCCUAUUGAGUUUGA